UAAGGAAUAUUGGUCAAUGGGCGCAAGCCUGAACCAGCCAUGCCGCGUGCAGGAAGACGGCCCUAUGGGUUGUAAACUGCUUUUGUCAGGGAAUAAACCUUUGUACGAGUACAGAGCUGAAGGUACCUGAAGAAUAAGCAUCGGCUAACUCCGUGCCAGCAGCCGCGGUAAUACGGAGGAUGCAAGCGUUAUCCGGAUUCAUUGGGUUUAAAGGGUGCGCAGGCGGAUUGGUAAGUCAGGGGUGAAAUCCCACAGCUCAACUGUGGAACUGCCCUUGAUACUGUCAGUCUGGAGUAUAGUUGAAGUUGGCGGAAUGUGUCAUGUAGCGGUGAAAUGCUUAGAUAUGACACAGAACACCGAUUGCGAAGGCAGCUUACUAAGGGUUUACUGACGCUGAGGCACGAAAGCGUGGGGAGCAAACA
Molecule: ribosomal RNA, 422 nt
Filed under: uncultured prokaryote
Description: bacterial SSU rRNA
Rfam family: Bacterial small subunit ribosomal RNA
Source: RNAcentral